CGUAAGACAUACACGCAUAUGGAACCGCGUCACCCACUUGGAAUGAUGGUAAAAGGUUGCGAUCAAGACAAAGGAAGAUAGGUACACCUACCUACAGCUAAAUGACAACACAGGUUGGAAAAAUCUUUAGGAAUAGAUCAAUAGAACAAAUCCACAAUAUUGUAAACGGAUGCCUUUACAAAUCAUUCCGAACCAGUGUUAGAUAAAGACGAUUCAAAAGUACUUGAAUUUAUUUGAAUAAAAAUUAUUUCUAAUUCUAUUUCUACAAUAGGUAUACGUAACAAUAAUUAGCACUGGUAUAAAAAAGAAAAGUAGGAACUAGGUACGUAGGUAGCUAAUAUAGUUACGCUGUAAAAUGUUAUGUACCAAGUAAGUAGUUGAGUGCAAAAUCUUAUUAGUGUUGAUCAUAAUUUUACAAACGUAUUAUUCUUGUGCUCAGCAGUGCUUAUCUUUCACUUGGUGCAUGACAUAUUAAUGGGGGUAUGCAUAGGAGGUUUAUUUAACCCACGGUGCAACGAUAAAUAGAAAAGUAACUCUAAAGAAAGAUGUUAGGUAGAUGGGUGCAGGUGACGUACCAGGACUAUCAAGGCUAUUGGGCGUCGCUUCGGGCAAAGCUUUCGGCGCCGGGUGUCGUUGCAGGCAAGCUAGUUCGACGCACACGGGCUGACGUAGGUCCGAUGUUGGCAUUGGCAUCAGUUGCUCGGCGUCUAUGAAUUCUUUGUA
Maniola jurtina (meadow brown) is the source of this 723-nucleotide long non-coding RNA. RefSeq lists it as uncharacterized. NCBI's taxonomy places the organism in Eukaryota, Metazoa, Arthropoda, Insecta, Lepidoptera, Nymphalidae. The record is from RefSeq and is a predicted model, not a curated record. The transcript is spliced from 2 exons.